Molecule: ribosomal RNA, 255 nt
Filed under: uncultured bacterium
Lineage: Bacteria
Description: partial 16S ribosomal RNA
Rfam family: Bacterial small subunit ribosomal RNA
Source: RNAcentral
CGGACGGGUGAGUAACGCGUGGAAAACCUGCCGUAUACUGGGGGAUAACACUUAGAAAUAGGUGCUAAUACCGCAUAAGCGCACAGCUUCGCAUGAAGCGGUGUGAAAAACUCUGGUGGUAUACGAUGGUUCCGCGUCUGAUUAGCUAGUUAGUGGGGUAAUGGCCUACCAAGGCAACGAUCAGUAGCCGGCCUGAGAGGGUGAACGGCCACAUUGGGACUGAGACACGGCCCAAACUCCUACGGAAGGCAGCAG